RNAcentral lists this transfer RNA (63 nucleotides) under Riftia pachyptila (tube worm). RNAcentral's name for it is "tRNA-Tyr". Lineage: Eukaryota; Metazoa; Annelida; Polychaeta; Sabellida; Siboglinidae. The record is from RNAcentral.
AAAAAGAUGGCCGAGUUAUAGGCAGAAGAUUGUAAUCCUUCCCACGGGACAUCCCUCUUUUUA